UCUUUUACAGAUAUCAAAAACUUCCCAACAUGGCUGCUUCUAAGAUGAUGCAUUACGUCACAGCACUAUGAAAUGCUUUCCAACAAGCUAAGAAAAAUAUUAAAGACAAAACACAGACAGAAAUGCCGCGGGAUAUAAUUUUUGUACAAGAAAAAUAUAAUUAAGGAAUCGGCGAUCAAAGUUCACUGAAAAUAGCUUGUCGUGAUAAACAAUGAAUUUCUAGACAACAUAUAAAUUUAAUAGACCAGAAAAUUAAACAAAACUAAAUUAAAUAUCGUUUGUGAAACCAGUGUGAGCAUGUGUUGUUGUUGCUUUCCGAGAAACGUUCGAUAAUUGGUUUCUUGAAAGCAUUAUUAUUAUUAUUAUUA
Molecule: long non-coding RNA, 368 nt
Filed under: Octopus vulgaris (common octopus)
Lineage: Eukaryota; Metazoa; Mollusca; Cephalopoda; Octopoda; Octopodidae
Source: RNAcentral